Molecule: ribosomal RNA, 497 nt
Filed under: uncultured bacterium
Lineage: Bacteria
Description: partial 16S ribosomal RNA
Rfam family: Bacterial small subunit ribosomal RNA
Source: RNAcentral
GAUGAACGCUGGCGGCGUGCCUAAUACAUGCAAGUCGAGCGGACAGACGAUGAGCUUGCUCCUCUCACGUGAGCGGCGGGCGUGUGAGUAACACGUGGAUAACCUACCUAUAAGACUGGGAUCACUUCGGGAAACCGGAGCUAAUACCGGAUAAUAUAUUGAACCGCAUGGUUCAAUAGAGAAAGACGGUUUUGCUGUCACUUAUAGCUGGAUCCGCGCCGCAUUAGCUAGUUGGUAAGGUAACGGCCUACCAAGGCAACGAUGCGUAACCGAACGGAGGGGGUGAUAGGCCACCUGAGAACGUGAACACGGACAAGACUCCUACGGGACGCAGCAGUAGGGAACCUGCCGCAAUGGGCGAAAGCAUGGCGGAGCAGCGCCGAGUGAGUGAUGACGGUCUUCGGAUCGGAAUACUCUGUUAUGAGGGAAGAACAACUGUGUAAGUAAACAUGCACGGCUUGACGGUACCGAAUAAGAAAGCAACGGCUAACUACGUG